CGAAUGGGGAAACCCGGUGCACUUCGGUGCAUCAUCGUUAGCUGAAUACAUAGGCUAACGAGGCGAACCGGGGGAACUGAAACAUCUAAGUACCCCGAGGAAAAGAAAUCAACCGAGAUUCCCCCAGUAGCGGCGAGCGAACGGGGAACAGCCCAGAGCCUGAAUCAGCUUGUGUGUCAGUGGAACGGUCUGGAAAGGCCGGCGAUACAGGGUGACAGCCCCGUACACGAAGGCACACAGGCUGUGAGCUCGAUGAGUAGGGCGGGACACGUGAUAUCCUGUCUGAAGAUGGGGGGACCAUCCUCCAAGGCUAAAUACUCCUGACUGACCGAUAGUGAACCAGUACCGUGAGGGAAAGGCGAAAAGAACCCCGGCGAGGGGAGUGAAACAGAACCUGAAACCGUGUACGUACAAGCAGUGGGAGCCUUCGUAAGAGGGUGACUGCGUACCUUUUGUAUAAUGGGUCAGCGACUUAUAUUCUGUAGCAAGGUUAACCGUAUAGGGGAGCCGAAGGGAAACCGAGUCUUAACCGGGCGUUAAGUUGCAGGGUAUAGACCCGAAACCCGGUGAUCUAGCCAUGGGCAGGUUGAAGGUUGGGUAACACUAACUGGAGGACCGAACCGACUAAUGUUGAAAAAUUAGCGGAUGACCUGUGGCUGGGGGUGAAAGGCCAAUCAAACCGGGAGAUAGCUGGUUCUCCCCGAAAGCUAUUUAGGUAGCGCCUCGUGAACUCAUCUCCGGGGGUAGAGCACUGUUUCGGCUAGGGGGCCAUCCCGGCUUACCAACCCGAUGCAAACUGCGAAUACCGGAGAAUGUUAUCACGGGAGACACACGGCGGGUGCUAACGUCCGUCGUGAAGAGGGAAACAACCCAGACCGCCAGCUAAGGUCCCAAAGUCAUGGUUAAGUGGGAAACGAUGUGGGAAGGCCCAGACAGCCAGGAUGUUGGCUUAGAAGCAGCCAUCAUUUAAAGAAAGCGUAAUAGCUCACUGGUCGAGUCGGCCUGCGCGGAAGAUGUAACGGGGCUAAACCAUGCACCGAAGCUGCGGCAGCGACACUAUGUGUUGUUGGGUAGGGGAGCGUUCUGUAAGCCUGUGAAGGUGUGCUGUGAGGCAUGCUGGAGGUAUCAGAAGUGCGAAUGCUGACAUAAGUAACGAUAAAGCGGGUGAAAAGCCCGCUCGCCGGAAGACCAAGGGUUCCUGUCCAACGUUAAUCGGGGCAGGGUGAGUCGACCCCUAAGGCGAGGCCGAAAGGCGUAGUCGAUGGGAAACAGGUUAAUAUUCCUGUACUUGGUGUUACUGCGAAGGGGGGACGGAGAAGGCUAUGUCGGCCGGGCGACGGUUGUCCCGGUUUAAGCGUGUAGGCUGACUUUCCAGGCAAAUCCGGAAAGUUAAGGCUGAGGCGUGAUGACGAGGCACCACGGUGCUGAAGUGACAAAUGCCCUGCUUCCAGGAAAAGCCUCUAAGCAUCAGGUAACAUCAAAUCGUACCCCAAACCGACACAGGUGGUCAGGUAGAGAAUACCAAGGCGCUUGAGAGAACUCGGGUGAAGGAACUAGGCAAAAUGGUGCCGUAACUUCGGGAGAAGGCACGCUGACAUGUAGGUGAAGCCCCUGCGGGUGGAGCUGAAGUCAGUCGAAGAUACCAGCUGGCUGCAACUGUUUAUUAAAAACACAGCACUGUGCAAACACGAAAGUGGACGUAUACGGUGUGACGCCUGCCCGGUGCCGGAAGGUUAAUUGAUGGGGUUAUCGCAAGAGAAGCUCCUGAUCGAAGCCCCGGUAAACGGCGGCCGUAACUAUAACGGUCCUAAGGUAGCGAAAUUCCUUGUCGGGUAAGUUCCGACCUGCACGAAUGGCGUAAUGAUGGCCAGGCUGUCUCCACCCGAGACUCAGUGAAAUUGAACUCGCUGUGAAGAUGCAGUGUACCCGCGGCAAGACGGAAAGACCCCGUGAACCUUUACUACAGCUUGACACUGAACAUUGAGCCUUGAUGUGUAGGAUAGGUGGGAGGCUUUGAAGCGUGGACGCCAGUCUGCGUGGAGCCGACCUUGAAAUACCACCCUUUAAUGUUUGAUGUUCUAACCUGGCGCCGUGAUCCGGCGUGGGGACAGUGUCUGGUGGGUAGUUUGACUGGGGCGGUCUCCUCCCAAAGUGUAACGGAGGAGCACGAAGGUCAGCUAAUCCUGGUCGGACAUCAGGAGGUUAGUGCAAUGGCAUAAGCUGGCUUGACUGCGAGAGUGACGGCUCGAGCAGGUGCGAAAGCAGGUCAUAGUGAUCCGGUGGUUCUGUAUGGAAGGGCCAUCGCUCAACGGAUAAAAGGUACUCCGGGGAUAACAGGCUGAUACCGCCCAAGAGUUCAUAUCGACGGCGGUGUUUGGCACCUCGAUGUCGGCUCAUCACAUCCUGGGGCUGAAGUAGGUCCCAAGGGUAUGGCUGUUCGCCAUUUAAAGUGGUACGCGAGCUGGGUUUAGAACGUCGUGAGACAGUUCGGUCCCUAUCUGCCGUGGGCGCUGGAGAAUUGAGGGGGGCUGCUCCCAGUACGAGAGGACCGGAGUGGACGCAUCACUGGUGUUCGGGUUGUCAUGCCAAUGGCACUGCCCGGUAGCUAAAUGCGGAAGAGAUAAGUGCUGAAAGCAUCUAAGCACGAAACUUGCCCCGAGAUGAGUUCUCCCUGAGACUGUAAGUCUCCUGAAGGAACGUUGAAGACGACGACGUUGAUAGGCCGGGUGUGUAAGCGCAGCGAUGCGUUGAGCUAACCGGUACUAAUGAACCGUGAGGCUUAACCUUACAACGCCAAAGAAGU
Molecule: ribosomal RNA, 2803 nt
Filed under: Cronobacter sakazakii
Lineage: Bacteria; Pseudomonadati; Pseudomonadota; Gammaproteobacteria; Enterobacterales; Enterobacteriaceae
Description: bacterial LSU rRNA
Rfam family: Bacterial large subunit ribosomal RNA
Source: RNAcentral